UACGUAGGGUGCGAGCGUUGUCCGGAAUUACUGGGCGUAAAGGGCUCGUAGGUGGCCAACUAAGUCGGACGUGAAAUCCCUCAGCUUAACUGGGGAACUGCGUCCGAUACUGGAUGGCUUGAGUUUGGGAGAGGGAUGCGGAAUUCCAGGUGUAGCGGUGAAAUGCGUAGAUAUCUGGAGGAACACCGGUGGCGAAGGCGGGUCUCUGGGCCGAUACUGACGCUGAGGAGCGAAAGCGUGGGGAGCGAACAGG
This 253-nucleotide ribosomal RNA is filed under the name uncultured bacterium. Its description in RNAcentral is "partial 16S ribosomal RNA". It matches the Rfam family "Bacterial small subunit ribosomal RNA", at positions 524 to 776 of the family's 1533-position model. The record is from RNAcentral.